AAAAUUUUUAGUUUAAUAAGAAUAUUUUAUUUACAAUAAAAAGGUAAAAAAUUUU
RNAcentral lists this transfer RNA (55 nucleotides) under Haemonchus contortus (barber pole worm). Its description in RNAcentral is "tRNA-Val". The record is from RNAcentral. Lineage: Eukaryota; Metazoa; Nematoda; Chromadorea; Rhabditida; Trichostrongylidae.